CCUACGGGCGGCAGCAGUGAGGAAUAUUGGUCAAUGGACGAGAGUCUGAACCAGCCAAGUAGCGUGAAGGAUGACUGCCCUAUGGGUUGUAAACUUCUUUUAUAUGGGAAUAAAAUGUUCCACGUGUGGGAUUUUGUAUGUACCAUAUGAAUAAGGAUCGGCUAACUCCGUGCCAGCAGCCGCGGUAAUACGGAGGAUCCGAGCGUUAUCCGGAUUUAUUGGGUUUAAAGGGAGCGUAGGUGGAUUGUUAAGUCAGUUGUGAAAGUUUGCGGCUCAACCGUAAAAUUGCAGUUGAAACUGGCAGUCUUGAGUACAGUAGAGGUGGGCGGAAUUCGUGGUGUAGCGGUGAAAUGCUUAGAUAUCACGAAGAACUCUGAUUGCGAAGGCAGUUCACUGGACUGCAACUGACACUGAGGCUCGAAAGUGUGGGUAUCAAACAGGAUUAGAUACCCGAGUAGUC
Molecule: ribosomal RNA, 460 nt
Filed under: uncultured bacterium
Lineage: Bacteria
Description: partial 16S ribosomal RNA
Rfam family: Bacterial small subunit ribosomal RNA
Source: RNAcentral